RNAcentral lists this ribosomal RNA (1376 nucleotides) under Candidatus Uhrbacteria bacterium. RNAcentral's name for it is "partial 23S ribosomal RNA". It matches the Rfam family "Bacterial large subunit ribosomal RNA", at positions 1 to 832 of the family's 2925-position model. Lineage: Bacteria; Candidatus Uhriibacteriota. The record is from RNAcentral.
AGAGCAAAUAUUAAGAGUAUACGGUGGAUAGCUAGACAAAACGUGCCGAUGAAGGACGUAGCAGCCUGCGAAAAGCUCCGGCGAGGUGGCAAGCAACCUUUGACCCGGAGAUGUCCGAAUGGGGAAACCCAGCUAGGGGAAUGCCUAGUUACUCUAUACUGAAUACAUAGGUAUAGAGAGGGAACCUAGGGAAGUGAAACAUCUCAGUACCUAGAGGAAAAGAAAAUAAUAUCUACCAAGUAGAAACAUUCCCUGAGUAGUGGCGAACGAAAGGGGAACAGCCCAAACCUUUGCUGUGAAACCUGCCAAAGCAUCUCUUCGGAGACGUGGCGGCAAGGUGAAAGAUACCGGUCGUUGCAGCAUAGGUGUUGUAAGCUUUUGCGUCUAGGUCCGGUGACCUAGGAUGCUUGUAUGACUUCUAGCAGAAGUUGCUGGAAAGCAACGCCAAAGAAGGUGAUAGCCCAGUAUGCGAAAGGGGUUCAUACCAGUAUUGCAAAAAUGCUUGAGUACGGCGGGACACGUGAAAUCCUGUCGGAAUCAUCCGAGACUAUUCGGAAAGGCUAAAUACAUGUUUUGAUCGAUAGUGAACUAGUACCGUGAGGGAAAGCUGAAAAGAACCCCGGAAGGGGAGUGAAAUAGAAUAUGAAACCGUAUACUUACAAGGAGUCGGAGCCCCCACACCUUUCUGAUAAGGCAUAAUUUUAGUAUGUAUUAUCUUUAUGUAUUAAAGAGUCAGAAAGACAAAAAACUUUACUGGGGCUUUACUGGUGAUUUAAAACGGAGAUUUAAUGAACAUCAGGAAGGCCUAGUUACUUCAACCAAGCAUCGUAGACCGCUUGAGCUCGUAUAUUACGAAGCCUAUAGGUCAAAGAGUGAUGCCAUGCAAAGAGAGAGGAAUAUGAAAAAGCAUGGCAACGCUUGGGCUCAGUUGAAGAAGCGAAUCAUGGAUAGUAGCCAUGGAUCAGAAAGGUGUGGGGGUGACGGCGUUCCUAUUGAAGAAUGAGCCAACGAGUUUGUGUAUGUGGCAGGUUAAGUCCUUCGGGAUGGAGCCAGAGUGAAAGCGAGCCUUAACGGGCGUUGGGACCUCAAUCAAAUUCAAGUCGAAAAGAAAGCGAAAUAUUUUGUUCCGGAUGUAGUUGAAGGUCGACGAGGCGAUGCAGUAGCAUCGUCGAGGAGACUUGAAGCUACAGAUGGACACCAUAGCUGCUUUCGGACGCACGUGAAUUUGAUUGAGGUCCCAUAGUCGCAUGUACAAGACCCGAAACCGGGUGACCUAACCAUGUCCAGGGUGAAGCGGGGGUAAAAGCCCGUGGAGGCCCGAACCCACUGGCCGUGCAAAACCAGGGGAUGAGAUGUGGUUAGCGGAGAAAUUCCAA